This 651-nucleotide long non-coding RNA is filed under the name Ananas comosus (pineapple). RNAcentral describes it as "long non-coding RNA (ACOM_LNC012259)". Lineage: Eukaryota; Viridiplantae; Streptophyta; Magnoliopsida; Poales; Bromeliaceae. The record is from RNAcentral.
CUAUUUGUUACUUGGGCCUUGCUAUUUGGGCUAUGUACUUUGGUGAAUAAAAAAUCUCCUAUUUCUAUGUUUUAUUAUUAUGUAUGUGGGCUCUCUAUUUGUUAGCCUUUGGAUCAUGGUUCUUUUGAUCUAAAGGCCCAUAUUGAUAGCUUCUCUGAAGAGCUAAAGUGAAAUAUUAGAAUAUUAGAGAGAAAAGAAGAGUGAGAAGUAGAGAGUGAGAAAAAAAGUGGGAGAAAAGAGAGGAAAUCCUAGAGGUUGGUUUUGAUCUUGGUUUUAUCAGGAAGGACGAGAAAUCUUUAUUAGUGAGAUGUGGUUUAUACUAUUUGGAUAGAGCUAGAGAUUGUUAGAGCUCUUUUUAUACCUUAGAGUUAAGGUGAUAUUUCUCUCAUUUGAAUCUAUCUUGUAAUCUUCAAGUUUGUAGUGAAAGCUUCUUUUGUAUUAUUCUCCCAUAAAUGUAGGCAUAGCUGAACCACGUAAAUCCUUGUAUUCUCAUGAUUUUGUUUAUUUUCUUAUUGCUCUUGUGAUUGGCUCUCCAUUAGAUGCUUGUAGAAAGUGGGUUGUGAAAUUGCCCACCAAGUGUUUGUGAAAUUACCAUCAAUAUUUUUCACCCUCAUUUUACACUAAUUGGUAUCAAAGCUUGAUUGCUAGCUA